AGUGAACGCUGGCGGUAGGCCUAACACAUGCAAGUCGAACGGCAGCACAGUAAGAGCUUGCUCUUACGGGUGGCGAGUGGCGGACGGGUGAGGAAUACAUCGGAAUCUACUUUUUCGUGGGGGAUAACGUAGGGAAACUUACGCUAAUACCGCAUACGACCUACGGGUGAAAGCAGGGGAUCUUCGGACCUUGCGCGAUUGAAUGAGCCGAUGUCGGAUUAGCUAGUUGGCGGGGUAAAGGCCCACCAAGGCGACGACCCGUAGCUGGUCUGAGAGGAUGAUCAGCCACACUGGAACUGAGACACGGUCCAGACUCCUACGGGAGGCGGCAGUGGGGAAUAUUGGACAAUGGGCGCAAGCCUGAUCCAGCCAUACCGCGUGGGUGAAGAAGGCCUUCGGGUUGUAAAGCCCUUUUGUUGGGAAAGAAAAGCAGCAGGUUAAUACCCCGCUGUUCUGACGGUACCCAAAGAAUAAGCACCGGCUAACUUCGUG
This 492-nucleotide ribosomal RNA is filed under the name uncultured bacterium. RNAcentral describes it as "partial 16S ribosomal RNA". It matches the Rfam family "Bacterial small subunit ribosomal RNA", at positions 29 to 507 of the family's 1533-position model. The record is from RNAcentral.